GAUCAUGGCUCAGGACGAACGCUGGCGGCGUGCCUAAUACAUGCAAGUUGAACGCUUGAUUUUCACCGAAGCUUGCUUCGCCGAAAAUCAAGAGUAGCGAACGGGUGAGUAACGCGUGGGUAACCUACCUUUCAGCGGGGGAUAACUAUUGGAAACGAUAGCUAAUACCGCAUAACAAUGUUGGAUGCAUAUUCGACAUUUGAAAGUACCAACUGGUACACUGAGAGAUGGACCCGCGUUGUAUUAG
RNAcentral lists this ribosomal RNA (247 nucleotides) under uncultured bacterium. RNAcentral's name for it is "partial 16S ribosomal RNA". It matches the Rfam family "Bacterial small subunit ribosomal RNA", at positions 15 to 244 of the family's 1533-position model. The record is from RNAcentral.